GAGCAUGCAGAUGGGAAUGUUGAAGCUUUUCUAAUAUUUUAAAACAACAAUUAUACAAUCACGACUAAUUAAAGCUUUUUAAUUUUAAGCCACCAUUUUUUAUCUUACAAUCCCAUCUAAGUACUAACCCUUCAUGCUAACCCUAGCUAAAACAUUCCAAGAUGGCUUUACAGAAAGCUUAAUCGGAGAUCCAAUGGUGGAUGAUCAAUUUCUGUACCAAAUGUGUAGGAAAAAGAUGUGGGUUCCUUGCAUUCAUUUGCUUGAAAUCUAAGCUUCUCUGAUUCCCCUUCAUUGAAUGAGUUUAAUGGAAAUAGUUGGAGUGUUUCAAUCACUCGUUCUUGCACAGUAACCUGACUCAUCUCAGAGAAAUAUCUUGCAGAAGAUGAAAGACUAUCUUCUCUCCGAAUCAUCAUCUCCUUCUCAUCGACCGAAACCCUUCGCCGCUUCUGCCUUUCCCUGGCUUUAUGGUUCUGAAACCAGUAAAACACGUUCUUGCUCUCGAUCUUGCCAUAGAAACUAAGCUGAGAAGAGAUCUUCUGGAUCUGAUCAGUGCUCGGAGUUCGGAGUCCGGACCUGAACAAGUCAGUCAGAACUUUAACUUGUUCAGAAGUAGGAUUCCAACGCCCGCACUUAGUUCCUGUGCUACAAUUAUUUCCACUAUCAUCAUCACCACGAACAUGAUUUCUUGCUUUUGUAAUGCAAAAGCCUGACAUUCUCUCUUCCAUAAUAUAUCUCUCAGCUCCAAAAUGCUAUUCUUUUUUAUGUGUAUAGAAGUCUCUAAA
This 782-nucleotide unclassified non-coding RNA is filed under the name Hevea brasiliensis (rubber tree). Lineage: Eukaryota; Viridiplantae; Streptophyta; Magnoliopsida; Malpighiales; Euphorbiaceae. The record is from RNAcentral.